Molecule: ribosomal RNA, 484 nt
Filed under: uncultured bacterium
Lineage: Bacteria
Description: partial 16S ribosomal RNA
Rfam family: Bacterial small subunit ribosomal RNA
Source: RNAcentral
AUUGAACGCUGGCGGCAGGCCUAACACAUGCAAGUCGAGCGGAUGAAGGGAGCUUGCUCCUGGAUUCAGCGGCGGACGGGUGAGUAAUGCCUAGGAAUCUGCCUGGUAGUGGGGGAUAACGUCCGGAAACGGGCGCUAAUACCUCAUACGUCCUGAGGGAGAAAGCGGGGGAUCUUCGGACCUCACGCUAUCAGAUGAGCCUAGGUCGGAUUAGCUAGUUGGUGGGGUAAAGGCCUACCAAGGCGACGAUCCGUAACUGGUCUGAGAGGAUGAUCAGUCACACUGGAACUGAGACACGGUCCAGACUCCUACGGGAGGCAGCAGUGGGGAAUAUUGGACGAUGGGCGAAAGCCUGAGCCAGCCAAGCCGCGUGUGUGAAGAAGGUCUUCGGAUUGUAAAGCACUUUAAGUUGGGAGGAAGAGCAGUAAGUUAAUACCUUGCUGUUUUGACGUUACCAACAGAAUAAGCACCGGCUAACUUCGUG